CUGGUUGGUGGGGUAAGAGCCUACCAAGGCGACGAUCGGUAGCUGGUCUGAGAGGACGAUCAGCCACACUGGGAUUGAGAACGGCCCAGACUCCUACGGGGGGCAGCAGUGAGGAAUUUUCCGCAAUGGACGAAAGUCUGACGGAGCAACGCCGCGUGCAGGAGGACGCUUUUCGGAGUGUAAACUGCUUUUCUGUGGGAAGAGCUACGGACGGUACCACAGGAAGAAGCCCCGGCUAACUACGUGCCAGCAGCCGCGGUAAUACGUAGGGGGCGAGCGUUGUCCGGAGUUACUGGGCGUAAAGGGCAUGCAGGCGGUCGUACGCGUUUUGUGUGACAGCGGGUGGCUUAACUACCCGAGUAUGCGAAAGACGGUAUGACUUGAGGGCUCGAGAGGGACACGGAAUUCCGGGUGGAGUGGUGAAAUGCGUAGAGAUCCGGAGGAACACCGAAGGCGAAGGCAGUGUCCUGGCGAGUGACUGACGCUGAGGUGCGAAAGCUAGGGGAGCGAACGGGAUUAGAUACCCCGGUAGUCCUAGCCGUAAACGAUGACCACCAGGUGUGGGAGGUAUCGACCCCUUCCGUGCCGGAGUUAACACACUAAGUGGUCCGCCUGGGGAGUACGGUCGCAAGAUUAAAACUCAAAGGAAUUGACG
This 655-nucleotide ribosomal RNA is filed under the name uncultured bacterium. RNAcentral describes it as "SSU rRNA". It matches the Rfam family "Bacterial small subunit ribosomal RNA", at positions 245 to 915 of the family's 1533-position model. The record is from RNAcentral.